GAUGAAGAACGUAGCGAAAUGCGAUAAGUAAUGUGAAUUGCAGAAUUCAGUGAAUCAUCGAAUCUUUGAACGCACAUUGCGCCCCUUGUUAUUCCGAGGGGCAUGCCUGUUCGAGCGUCAUUAUAACCCCUCAAGCUCAGCUUGGUGUUGGGGCCUGCUGCACUGGCAGCCCUUAAAAUCAGUGGCGGCGCCAUCUGGCUCUAAGCGUAGUAAUUCUUCUCGCUAUGGAGUCCUGGUGGAUGCUUGCCAUCAACCCCCAAUUUUUCUAUGGUUGACCUCGGAUCAGGUAGGGAUACCCGCUGAACUUAAGCAUAUCAAUAAGCGGAGGA
Molecule: unclassified non-coding RNA, 329 nt
Filed under: soil metagenome
Description: partial contains 5.8S ribosomal RNA, internal transcribed spacer 2, and large subunit ribosomal RNA
Rfam family: 5.8S ribosomal RNA (bases 1-120)
Source: RNAcentral